RNAcentral lists this ribosomal RNA (980 nucleotides) under Rosellinia necatrix. RNAcentral's name for it is "partial large subunit ribosomal RNA". It matches the Rfam family "Eukaryotic large subunit ribosomal RNA", at positions 47 to 1054 of the family's 3401-position model. Lineage: Eukaryota; Fungi; Ascomycota; Sordariomycetes; Xylariales; Xylariaceae. The record is from RNAcentral.
CAUGCCUGCGGAGAGAACCAACAGGGAUUGCCUCAGUAACGGCGAGUGAAGCGGCAACAGCUCAAAUUUGAAAUCUGGCCCUCGGGUCCGAGUUGUAAUUUGUAGAGGAUGCUUUUGGCGCGGUGCCUUCCGAGUUCCCUGGAACGGGACGCCUUAGAGGGUGAGAGCCCCGUACGGUUGGACACCAAGCCUCUGUAAAGCUCCUUCGACGAGUCGAGUAGUUUGGGAAUGCUGCUCUAAAUGGGAGGUAAAUUUCUUCUAAAGCUAAAUAUUGGCCAGAGACCGAUAGCGCACAAGUAGAGUGAUCGAAAGAUGAAAAGCACUUUGAAAAGAGGGUUAAAUAGCACGUGAAAUUGUUGAAAGGGAAGCGUUUGCGACCAGACCUUUUCCUGGCGGAUCAUCCGGUGUUCUCACCGGUGCACUUCGCCAGGUCGAGGCCAGCAUCGGUUUCCGCGGGGGGAUAAAAGCUCUGGGAACGUAGCUCCUCCGGGAGUGUUAUAGCCCUCUGCACAAUACCCCCGCGGGGACCGAGGACCGCGCUCUAAGCAAGGAUGCUGGCGUAAUGGUUGUCAACGACCCGUCUUGAAACACGGACCAAGGAGUCGAACAUUUGUGCGAGUGUUUGGGUGUCAAACCCUCACGCGUAAUGAAGGUGAACGUAGGUGAGAGCCCUUACGGGUGCAUCAUCGACCGAUCCUGAUGUCUUCGGAUGGAUUUGAGUAAGAGCAUAACUGUUCGGACCCGAAAGAUGGUGAACUAUGCGUGGAUAGGGUGAAGCCAGAGGAAACUCUGGUGGAGGCUCGCAGCGGUUCUGACGUGCAAAUCGAUCGUCAAAUCUGCGCAUGGGGGCGAAAGACUUAUCGAACCAUCUAGUAGCUGGUUACCGCCGAAGUUUCCCUCAGGAUAGCAGUGUUGUUCUUCAGUUUUAUGAGGUAAAGCGAAUGAUUAGGGACUCGGGGGCGCUUUUUUGCCUUCAUCCA